Molecule: long non-coding RNA, 710 nt
Organism: Rosa chinensis
Lineage: Eukaryota; Viridiplantae; Streptophyta; Magnoliopsida; Rosales; Rosaceae
Exons: 4
Source: RefSeq, a predicted model, not a curated record
CCAUCUUUGCUUCUUGCAUGUAACUGCUCCGCUGUUGAUCAAGCAGAAUGGCGCCACGUGGUACCCUUUAAACUGGCUCUGUUCACAAUGCAGGGAUUGUGUUCCAGAAAUUGCCCCAAAGAAAUUGUGAUCCAUGGCUGACCAGAGCGAUAGGAACCCGACCGCUGGAUGACGGAGAGGAAAGCAGACGGAACUGAACUGGAGUGCUACUGAAACACAAGAACGGGAACAACUGUAUAUGAUAUUGAAGAUAUGUUCUGCUAUAUAUCUCAAUGGCGAAACAGAAAGCAACUACCUUCGGGAGGAACCCUGUAGAAUACAUUGUAGGGAACAUUCGUUCUACUUUAGCCCAUCAUACUGGGGUCUUCCAGAGGAUGUGCUUAACAAACGCUGCAGUUGUGGAUUUGAGAGGAGCUCCAAUAAAGAAGGCCAGCAACCAAUACUUCAGUAACUGCAAAGAACUCGGGCAUGCCAAUAAUGCUUGUCCGGUUCCACACAGGCCCCCAGGUAUUGAGAGUCCACAGGGGUAACAUUCUGCCCAGCCACACAGGUCAACCCUCCAACAUCCAAACGUGCUUGUCCCCAUUCGUUCCUUCUGACGGCCAAGCGUUAUCCAAACAUCACGCAUUCAUGGGAGUGGACUUAUGGCCAAAAGGUGGCCAAUACACUGCAGACGAUGUGGCCAAAUAGGAUACAACCGCUGCACCUGC